AGGAUAGGUGGGAGUCGCGGAAGCGGCCACGCUAGUGGUCGUGGAGACGCCGUUGAAAUACCACCCUGUCUGCUGUGAAAUCCUCACUGACCGCCGUGAAGCCGGCGGCAGGACCGGGUCAGGUGGGUAGUUUGACUGGGGCGGUCACCUCCCAAAAGCGUAACGGAGGUGUGCAAAAGGUGUCCUCAGGCUGUAUAGACAUCAGUCGACGAGUGCAAAGGCAGAAGGGCGCUUGACUGCGAGACGGACACGUCGAGCAGGGGCGAAAGCCGGUCUUAGUGAUCCGGUGGUGCUGCGUGGCAGGGCCAUCGCUCAACGGAUAAAAGGUACGCCGGGGAUAACAGGCUGAUCCUGCCCGAGAGUUCCCCAUCGACGGCAGGGUUUGGCACCUCGAUGUCGGCUCAUCGCAUCCUGGAGCUGGAGCAGGUUCCAAGGGUUUGGCUGUUCGCCAAUUAAAAGCGGUACGCGAGCUGGGUUUAGAACGUCGUGAGACAGUUCGGUCCCUAUCUGUCGUGGGCGAG
RNAcentral lists this ribosomal RNA (521 nucleotides) under uncultured bacterium. RNAcentral's name for it is "bacterial LSU rRNA". It matches the Rfam family "Bacterial large subunit ribosomal RNA", at positions 2140 to 2655 of the family's 2925-position model. The record is from RNAcentral.